GGAAAUGUGCCUGAGAACAAGGAUUACCUUGAUAAGGUAAAAACAGAGACACAACCUCUCUUUUCCCGCCCUA
This 73-nucleotide transfer RNA is filed under the name Brookesia ebenaui. RNAcentral's name for it is "tRNA-Ile". The record is from RNAcentral. Lineage: Eukaryota; Metazoa; Chordata; Lepidosauria; Squamata; Chamaeleonidae.